RNAcentral lists this unclassified non-coding RNA (536 nucleotides) under Hevea brasiliensis (rubber tree). Lineage: Eukaryota; Viridiplantae; Streptophyta; Magnoliopsida; Malpighiales; Euphorbiaceae. The record is from RNAcentral.
AAAAGCUAGAAGACACCAUGCUGCGGUGGCCCUUUACUAAUGAAAUUCCACACAAUACCCCAUGAAAAACCCACCUUCUUUGAUCAAUAAUUCAACCCUAGAUCAUAAUCAUCAUAUAUUGAUCCAAUUCUAUUUUUCAAGAAAGAAAAAGAAUUUUCCCUCUUAGAAAUGGAUCUUGAAGAAUGGGAAAUUUUGCCUCAUGGGGGAUUUCUUGAUUACCGUGAAGAUGGUGAAAAAAAGAAUUUUGCGGCAAGCAAUCGUAGCUCCAAUUCGAAAAGUGUGUUCGAUAUGAACUACUUUGUGUGCCCAUCUUCACCCCCAAAAAAUUCAAGGAUGGUGCCUAACCAACUUGUUCCAGUUCCAUUUCAGUUGGAAACAACAAGAAUCACAGCUGGUAAGGAUCAACAAGACAAAUCAAAGCCUAUUGACAUCAAGGUGAUGCCUUCUUUGAUCAUGCCAGAAGUCAAAGGUCCUGAUAUGGCUUCAAAAGAAGCUGAUCAAGACCAAGUUUCCCAAGUUUUCUUCAAGAAAAUGAA